This 749-nucleotide ribosomal RNA is filed under the name uncultured bacterium. RNAcentral's name for it is "bacterial SSU rRNA". It matches the Rfam family "Bacterial small subunit ribosomal RNA", at positions 56 to 787 of the family's 1533-position model. The record is from RNAcentral.
UGCAGUCGAAGCUUCUUUUUCACCGGAGCUUGCUCCACCGGAAAAAGAGGAGUGGCGAACGGGUGAGUAACACGUGGGUAACCUGCCCAUCAGAAGGGGAUAACACUUGGAAACAGGUGCUAAUACCGUAUAACAAUCGAAACCGCAUGGUUUUGAUUUGAAAGGCGCUUUCGGGUGACGCUGAUGGAUGGACCCGCGGUGCAUUAGCUAGUUGGUGAGGUAACGGCUCACCAAGGCCACGAUGCAUAGCCGACCUGAGAGGGUGAUCGGCCACAUUGGGACUGAGACACGGCCCAAACUCCUACGGGAGGCAGCAGUAGGGAAUCUUCGGCAAUGGACGAAAGUCUGACCGAGCAACGCCGCGUGAGUGAAGAAGGUUUUCGGAUCGUAAAACUCUGUUGUUAGAGAAGAACAAGGAUGAGAGUAACUGUUCAUCCCUUGACGGUAUCUAACCAGAAAGCCACGGCUAACUACGUGCCAGCAGCCGCGGUAAUACGUAGGUGGCAAGCGUUGUCCGGAUUUAUUGGGCGUAAAGCGAGCGCAGGCGGUUUCUUAAGUCUGAUGUGAAAGCCCCCGGCUCAACCGGGGAGGGUCAUUGGAAACUGGGAGACUUGAGUGCAGAAGAGGAGAGUGGAAUUCCAUGUGUAGCGGUGAAGUGCGUAGAUAUAUGGAGGAACCCAGUGGCGAGGCGGCUCUCUGGUCUGUACUGACGCUGAGCUCGAAGCGUGGGAGCAACAGGAUAGAUACCU